GACGAACGCUGGCGGCGUGCUUAACACAUGCAAGUCGAACGGAAAGGCCCUGCCUUUGUGGGGUGCUCGAGUGGCGAACGGGUGAGUAACACGUGAGUAACCUGCCCUUGACUUUGGGAUAACUUCAGGAAACUGGGGCUAAUACCGGAUAGGAGCUCCUGCUGCAUGGUGGGGGUUGGAAAGUUUCGGCGGUUGGGGAUGGACUCGCGGCUUAUCAGCUUGUUGGUGGGGUAGUGGCUUACCAAGGCUUUGACGGGUAGCCGGCCUGAGAGGGUGACCGGCCACAUUGGGACUGGGAUACGGCCCAGACUCCUACGGGAGGCAGCAGUGGGGAAUAUUGCACAAUGGGCGGAAGCCUGAUGCAGCAACGCCGCGUGCGGGAUGACGGCCUUCGGGUUGUAAACCGCUUUCGCCUGUGACGAAGCGUGAGUGACGGUAAUGGGUAAAGAAGCACCGGCUAACUACGUG
Molecule: ribosomal RNA, 468 nt
Filed under: uncultured bacterium
Lineage: Bacteria
Description: partial 16S ribosomal RNA
Rfam family: Bacterial small subunit ribosomal RNA
Source: RNAcentral